This 120-nucleotide small RNA is filed under the name Marmota monax (woodchuck). The record is from RNAcentral. Lineage: Eukaryota; Metazoa; Chordata; Mammalia; Rodentia; Sciuridae.
ACUGGGUGGGGUGGGCAUGCCUGUAAUUCCAGCAACUUGGGAGGUUGAGACAGGAAGAUCUUGAAUUCAAAGCCAGCAACUUAGUGAGGCCGUAAGCAACUCAGUGAGACCCUGUCUCUU